AUUGAACGCUGGCGGCAUGCCUUACACAUGCAAGUCGAACGGUAACAGGUCUUCGGAUGCUGACGAGUGGCGAACGGGUGAGUAAUACAUCGGAACGUGCCCGAUCGUGGGGGAUAACGAGGCGAAAGCUUUGCUAAUACCGCAUACGAUCUACGGAUGAAAGCGGGGGAUCUUCGGACCUCGCGCGGACGGAGCGGCCGAUGGCAGAUUAGGUAGUUGGUGGGAUAAAAGCUUACCAAGCCGACGAUCUGUAGCUGGUCUGAGAGGAUGAUCAGCCACACUGGGACUGAGACACGGCCCAGACUCCUACGGGAGGCAGCAGUGGGGAAUUUUGGACAAUAGGCGAAAGCCUGAUCCAGCCAUGCCGCGUGCAGGAUGAAGGCCUUCGGGUUGUAAACUGCUUUUAUACGGAACGAAAAGCCUCUUUCUAAUAAAGAGGGGUCAUGACGGUACCGUAAGAAUAAGCACCGGCUAACUACGUG
This 482-nucleotide ribosomal RNA is filed under the name uncultured bacterium. RNAcentral describes it as "partial 16S ribosomal RNA". It matches the Rfam family "Bacterial small subunit ribosomal RNA", at positions 30 to 507 of the family's 1533-position model. The record is from RNAcentral.